GUGGGGAAUUUUGGACAAUGGGCGCAAGCCUGAUCCAGCAAUGCCGCGUGUGUGAAGAAGGCCUUCGGGUUGUAAAGCACUUUUGGCAGGAAAGAAAUAGCGCGUGCUAAUACCAUGCGCGAAUGACGGUACCUGCAGAAUAAGCACCGGCUAACUACGUGCCAGCAGCCGCGGUAAGACGUAGGGUGCAAGCGUUAAUCGGAAUUACUGGGCGUAAAGCGUGCGCAGGCGGUUUUGUAAGACAGGUGUGAAAUCCCCGGGCUCAACCUGGGAACUGCACUUGUGACUGCAAGGCUAGAGUGUGUCAGAGGGAGGUGGAAUUCCGCGUGUAGCAGUGAAAUGCGUAGAGAUGCGGAGGAACACCGAUGGCGAAGGCAGCCUCCUGGGAUAAAACUGACGCUCAGGCACGAAAGCGUGGGGAGCAAACAGGAUUAGAAACCCCUGUAGUCC
Molecule: ribosomal RNA, 450 nt
Filed under: uncultured bacterium
Lineage: Bacteria
Description: partial 16S ribosomal RNA
Rfam family: Bacterial small subunit ribosomal RNA
Source: RNAcentral